AUUGAACGCUGGCGGCAGGCUUAACACAUGCAAGUCGAGCGAGCGGCGGACGGGUGAGUAAUGUCUGGGAAACUGCCUGAUGGAGGGGGAUAACUACUGGAAACGGUAGCUAAUACCGCAUACCAUCGGAUGUGCCCAGAGGGGAUUAGCUAGUAGGUGGGGUAAAGGCUCACCUAGGCGACGAUCCCUAGCUGGUCUGAGAGGAUGACCAGCCACACUGGAACUGAGACACGGUCCAGACUCCUACGGGAGGCAGCAGUGGGGAAUAUUGCACAAUGGGCGCAAGCCUGAUGCAGCCAUGCCGCGUGUGUGAAGAAGGCCUUCGGGUUGUAAAGCACUUUCAGCGAGGAGGCGUUACUCGCAGAAGAAGCACCGGCUAACUCCGUGCCAGCAGCCGCGGUAAUUC
Molecule: ribosomal RNA, 406 nt
Filed under: uncultured bacterium
Lineage: Bacteria
Description: partial 16S ribosomal RNA
Rfam family: Bacterial small subunit ribosomal RNA
Source: RNAcentral